GAUGAACGCUGGCGGCGUGCCUAACACAUGCAAGUCGAACGAAGCGAUUAGGAUGAAGUUUUCGGAUGGAUUCCUGGUUGACUGAGUGGCGGACGGGUGAGUAACGCGUGGAUAACCUGCCUCACACUGGGGGAUAACAGUUAGAAAUGGCUGCUAAUACCGCAUAAGCGCACAGUACCGCAUGGUACGGUGUGAAAAACCCAGGUGGUGUGAGAUGGAUCCGCGUCUGAUUAGCCAGUUGGCGGGGUAACGGCCCACCAAAGCGACGAUCAGUAGCCGACCUGAGAGGGUGACCGGCCACAUUGGGACUGAGACACGGCCCAAACUCCUACGGGAGGCAGCAGUGGGGAAUAUUGCACAAUGGGCGGAAGCCUGAUGCAGCGACGCCGCGUGAGUGAAGAAGUAUCUCGGUAUGUAAAGCUCUAUCAGCAGGGAAGAAAAUGACGGUACCUGACUAAGAAGCCCCGGCUAACUACGUGCCAGCAGCCGCGGUAAUACGUAGGGGGCAAGCGUUAUCCGGAUUUACUGGGUGUAAAGGGAGCGUAGACGGCGACGCAAGUCUGGAGUGAAAGCCCGGGGCCCAACCCCGGGACUGCUUUGGAAACUGUGCUGCUGGAGUGCAGGAGAGGUAAGUGGAAUUCCUAGUGUAGCGGUGAAAUGCGUAGAUAUUAGGAGGAACACCAGUGGCGAAGGCGGCUUACUGGAC
This 706-nucleotide ribosomal RNA is filed under the name uncultured Lachnospiraceae bacterium. RNAcentral's name for it is "bacterial SSU rRNA". It matches the Rfam family "Bacterial small subunit ribosomal RNA", at positions 28 to 734 of the family's 1533-position model. The record is from RNAcentral. Lineage: Bacteria; Bacillati; Bacillota; Clostridia; Lachnospirales; Lachnospiraceae.